Kogia breviceps (pygmy sperm whale) is the source of this 1352-nucleotide non-coding RNA. Lineage: Eukaryota; Metazoa; Chordata; Mammalia; Artiodactyla; Physeteridae. The record is from RefSeq and is a predicted model, not a curated record.
AUUAGAAAUGAAACCAACGAAUGACUAAAUUAACGUGCAUAUGUUUUAACUUUUAUCUACUAGAUUUUAAAGUCCUUAAGAGCAAGAAAUGUCAUGGUGUUCCAACAACAGCCUAUAUCUACUUGCAAUGUGACUUUGGACAAGAAUACUGAGAUUAGGAGGAUAAGCGACUUGCCAGCUAUCACGCAGAGACUUUGAAUUGAAUAGAAUGGAUUUGCCAACAUGAAGAUUAUUUUAGGAUCCUCUCUCUAGAGUUCUCUUACAGUUUGCCUGGUAGUGACAGAACGUUUGAGCUCAGCGGGAUUGUGGUGUUCAGCAAGGUCACUCUCUCCAAUGUACAGGUCUCAUGUCACUCAGUAAUUAUAAGGCUUGAAGCCAUAUCACCAACCAGAUUCUACUGAGAGGCAAUGCAAUUCAAUAAAAACACUCUUAUAAUUUUGCAGAUUUAAGUCUGUCAACUGAAAAAGAAGCACAACCUAAGAGUUGAGGAUUAUGUCUCAAUCAGCAAAUUUACUAAGUACUGAAGCCCAGGAUACAGCCACUCAGAUAACUCUGAGGAAUUGUUCCGAAGAGGUAAGGGAGGAGCCAGGAUACAGAGGAGUUUUGCACAAAACACCCUAAAACCACUAUGUACUCAGAACAUCAGAAGAUUGCUGCUAAUUAAAGAGAACCAGACAUGUUAAAUUAAUGAAUUUAAUGCUUUUCUAUGGGAAGAUCCAAUUGUCUGGGCUUAUUGAAAUUAUCCUUUGAUAUGCACCUUACCUAUCUAGGGUCAGUAUCCUGUUUUUUUCCAUACUGAAUUCCCCUAAGGAUAUACUGUCAGGGGUCACUGCAAUGGCUGAUACUUGAUGGCCUCAACAUCCUUUGUUUACUGAAAUGGCAGGUGACAUUUUUUUUUGUCCACAAGUCUGCAUGUAUAGAUUGCACAUACAGCAAAAAAUUAUAGGAGUAUACUUUGAAUCAUUAAUAAAACUUGAGACUCUGGGUUGAACAGAGAACAUGAGUGCUGAUUGCUGAGUCUGAAAGAUAGUAAAUGUCAGAGUAUCAGCAAUGAAAUUGUCAGCCACAGAGUCUUUAUAAAAAUACCAACAUAGAAAUCACAGGGCUUUGUUUUGCUUCCCUGUCUACUGCAGGUGGCUGACAGGAUGUAACUCUGAAAGGCUUUCUUAGGAAAUUUUUGUUUCUCUUUUUUGUUUGUUUUUCUCUUCCUGUGCCUCCACACAGGGCUCUGUGACCUGGUGCCACCUGCCUCAUAUCCAAGAGCCCACAGAAAGGCUGCCCUUUUUUGGUAGAAGGCUUCUGGGGCAUAUUGACUUACAAAGGAAAUAGCUUGUGAAAGAAAAGUGCAUGCA